Molecule: long non-coding RNA, 273 nt
Organism: Zalophus californianus (California sea lion)
Lineage: Eukaryota; Metazoa; Chordata; Mammalia; Carnivora; Otariidae
Exons: 3
Source: RefSeq, a predicted model, not a curated record
CUUUCCGCUCGAGUUGGUGGAUAGCGUGGUGGGCGUCUAUAGCCGACCUUCAGCCGGGAGGAAAUCAAGUCUGAGAUGUUCGGCCGCCUCCUGGUGAAAUCCCAAGUUUCCUAGAUCAUCUGUAAAAUAUCACAGGCAUGGAGGAUUGGCAGUAGUCAUUCUUCACACAUCUACAUGGAGGCUGAGGAUGAUGUGAAGUCAGUAUUAUAAAGGACAUAUGCACGGCAGAGUUUGCACAAGGUUUGAAGAUGCCCAGAACAAUAAAGUGUGGGG